RNAcentral lists this ribosomal RNA (425 nucleotides) under uncultured bacterium. RNAcentral's name for it is "bacterial SSU rRNA". It matches the Rfam family "Bacterial small subunit ribosomal RNA", at positions 354 to 796 of the family's 1533-position model. The record is from RNAcentral.
GUGGGGAAUAUUGGACAAUGGGGGAAACCCUGAUCCAGCAAUGCCGCGUGAGUGAUGAAGGCCUUCGGGUUGUAAAGCUCUUUUGUCAGGGACGAUGAUGACGGUACCUGACGAAUAAGCUCCGGCUAACUUCGUGCCAGCAGCCGCGGUAAUACGAGGGGAGCUAGCGUUGUUCGGAAUUACUGGGCGUAAAGGGCGUGUAGGCGGUACCAUAAGUCAGAUGUGAAAGCCCUAGGCUUAACCUAGGAGGUGCAUUUGAUACUGUGGAACUAGAGAUCGAGAGAGGAAAGUGGAAUUACGAGUGUAGAGGUGAAAUUCGUAGAUAUUCGUAAGAACACCAGUGGCGAAGGCGACUUUCUGGCUCGAUACUGACGCUAAGGCGCGAAAGCGUGGGGAGCAAACAGGAUUAGAAACCCCAGUAGUCC